Molecule: long non-coding RNA, 1430 nt
Organism: Cannabis sativa
Lineage: Eukaryota; Viridiplantae; Streptophyta; Magnoliopsida; Rosales; Cannabaceae
Exons: 3
Source: RefSeq, a predicted model, not a curated record
UUAAGGAAAUAAAAUAAAGUAUUGAUUUGUGAUAAAUGAAUAUUUUAUAUUCAUUGAAUCUAGACAAAAUCAAUUACGUAAUAUUCUAUAUAUGGUCAGAUUUAAAUAUUCAUUACCUGAUUUGAUUUCCUGAAUUAAUUGUCAAAAUAUUCUGACAAUUAAUGUGGCACAGAUACUGAUGGAGUAUCUCACCUAUAAAUAUAGGGUCUCGGUCCCCAAGCUCCUCACUCAUUCUGUUCAUAACAGCAAAUUCCAUCUAAAGAGAGUUGAGAGAGCAAGGAAGCCCGAUUAUCCACACCAACCAGUUUCCUUUGCAGAUCAAAGCUUAUGUGGGUUUGAAGCUCAAGAAUCAAUGGCUGGAGGUAUUUCGAUCAUUAAUUUAUAUAGUGUAUAUAUUUGUUUAUUCCGCAUGUUAUAUACAAUACACAUACAUAUGUUUCAGUUUAUACAUAUAAAUGUCUAACAGUUAUAUCUUCUUAUUAGGUUUUAUGAUUUGAAGAUUGUUCGUUGAGAAAAACGUGAAGAAAAAAUGUAAUACCUGGAAUUAAGAAAUGGAUUAGCAAAACCCUAACUAGAUAAUUAUGUAUAAUUGAGGAAAUUAUAUUAUUAUAUAAUUUAAUAUAUGUGAAAUUAUAUGAAUUUUAUUAUGUUAAGACCCUGUUGGUGAGCCAGGGGCAUUUUAGUAAUUAUGACCCGAGAAGGGUAAAAUUAUGAAAUUAAUUGAUUACGUGCUUAAUGGAACUAUAUUAUUAUAUAGUAUACAUGUGCUGUCUUUUCAGGUGUGUUCUGACAGGUUAGCGCGGUAUAGUCACAACCGGGAAUUUCGGGCCGAACCGGGUUCGGGCCCGAAAUGUAAAUUGGAUUGAUAAUUUGGCAUUUUAUUUGAUGAAUGAUAAUCUGAAAUUUAUUUGAAAUUAAUUGAGUAUUGAAAUGACUUAUUUACCCUUGUGAGGGUGUAGGUGUGAAUAAUAAGCCAUGAGGGCAUUUUGGUCAUUUCACCCCUAAUUAUUAUGUUUGAUUAAAAUUGAUUUUUGAUGAAAUGAAAAGCAAUUUUCUGGUUUUGCUUUCACUCUUGGCCGACCCCCUCUCUCUCCCAAACCCUCUUAUUAUUUCAAAGUUGAAUUUGAAGAAAAGCUUGGUUCUUAGCUUGUUUUGGAGCUUUGAAGUUGUGAAUUCUUGAGCUUGGAGUUGAGGAUUACCGGCACCUGGUCAGGAGCACCCGGGGAUUUGGAAUCUCUACUAUUGCGGGACAACAGGAAAGGGUAAGGCAUUAGCUGAUCAGCCAUGAGUUUCAGGAGCAGGGCAAAGAAUGUACAUGUUCAUGCCACUUCAGACCAAGCGGGUUAUGGGUCUAACUGUAACGUCCCCGCUUCAAGCUUCCAUUGGGUCCUUCCACCCACGGAAUAAUGGCUCUUAUACACGAGUACGCC